Long non-coding RNA from Anopheles moucheti, 449 nucleotides. RefSeq lists it as uncharacterized. NCBI's taxonomy places the organism in Eukaryota, Metazoa, Arthropoda, Insecta, Diptera, Culicidae. The record is from RefSeq and is a predicted model, not a curated record. The transcript is spliced from 3 exons.
UUGCGGUGCAGUGUUAAAAUUGUUGCGCUUCUCCGCCGAAAGGCUUAAUACAGCAGCGUGUCCCUCUUUAAACGUUACAGUGCAAUUUGGUUGGCGUUAAUUAAAAGUGUCCAGCCCGGAAUAACGUUCGACGGUGAUCAGUCGCCCGCAGCCAAAAGAUAACGGAACAUCCGGAACAUUGGGACAGCGAACGGGGAAGAGCCGUGAGAAACGACCAACCCCGCCAAGAAAAGAUAGCUCGACCGCGUGUGCGUGUGCCGAAACCGGAGAAGGGUGACUAGCUCCAGCCGCGGACCCACAGAACCGAACGAUUCGUGCGCGUGUGCAGUUGCGUGAUCAGUUCGUUUCCAGCAGUGCCGGGACGGGUUUGUGUGCCCACUGAUAAGUGAACUCCCCAAUCAAUCAGAGCAGCACAGAGUGGACGUUUGAGAGUGUUUCAGGUGCUUGAC